CUUGUAGGCGGUUGGCCGCGUCUGCCGUGAAAUCCUCUGGCUUAACUGGGGGCGUGCGGUGGGUACGGGUUGACUUGAGUGCGGUAGGGGAGACUGGAAUUCCUGGUGUAGCGGUGGAAUGCGCAGAUAUCAGGAGGAACACCGGUGGCGAAGGCGGGUCUCUGGGCCGUUACUGACGCUGAGGAGCGAAAGCGUGGGGAGCGAACG
This 207-nucleotide ribosomal RNA is filed under the name uncultured bacterium. RNAcentral's name for it is "partial 16S ribosomal RNA". It matches the Rfam family "Bacterial small subunit ribosomal RNA", at positions 568 to 774 of the family's 1533-position model. The record is from RNAcentral.